AGGGGGGAGGGGGGAGCAGAUUUCCUGCGGGGAGGCUGAAUGCAUAUGGAGAGUAGAUUUCCUGAAGGGAGGGUGGAGGCGUAGACGGACCGAGCGAAGACUGGUCUUCUUGUCGGAUUGCCUAUGCACUUGUUGCAGAAACAGCCAAGGCCCUGGCUCUGGAGGAUGCUGAAAGAGGAAGACACAGAAGCAGGACGACCCUGAGAGAUUAAGCCUCUUAAUCGUGAAACAGGCAUGUGGAAUCUUUUGGUCCCUGACCAGGAGCCAAACCUGGACCCCCUGCAUUGAAAGGAGAAGUCUUUACCACAGAACUACAAGGGAAGUCCCUCUUCUUCUAAGGACACAUUUCCUGUCGUGGGGGCUCCACCCUUGUGGCUCAUUUUAACUUAAUUGACUCCUGAAGGCUCCGUCUCCUGAUCCCAUCAGAUUGGGGGUUAGGGCUUUAACAUAAGAAUGUGGGGGCAUGGGGACAAACAGCCCAUAGCAAUGCUCCUGGAAGGUCCAGGAGCCCUGCAGUAAGCAGAGGAGGCCUUAGAGUUCCGAGCUUUCCUUGCUGUGGGAGAGGUGCAGUGUUCCCAACUGGAGCAGAUGGUUCUGUGGACUAGAAAGUUGGACGACAUUUACCGCAGAGCUGGAGGGAACCUGCAGGAGCCUGGUGAUCUCCUUGUCUUUUCAGAGCUUCGAUUUCUUAGUUUCAUAUGUCAGUGGUAAAGUUGUGGUUGCCAAACUUGGUCAGCCUCAAUGAAAUCUGGAUGGUUUAGCACUCAGUAUUCCCAUGAAGUAUUCUAUAACUUGGUGGGCCUCUGAAAAGGAGGCUCUUGGAACCAAAGCCUGGGAAAAUGGGUUAUUUCUUAGCACUUAAUCAUUUUGGGCAUUUCUUCCUGUUUCAUGGGGGGAAGAAAAGGCAGUAAAUUAAAACUGCUCCCUGUUUCAUGAGAGAUCAGUAUCUUACAGUGUCAUUUUAAAUAUAUACAAACACAGUAAUGUCCACAUGGACAGAGAUGUGCACACAGGAACACACACACACAUGCCAGGUGGAAUUUUUUGUUGUUGUUUUUUAAAUUUUUUUAAUGGAAGGAUAAUUGCUUUACAGAAUUUUGUGGUUUUCUGUCGUACAUCAACAAGAAUCAGCCC
Bos taurus (domestic cattle) is the source of this 1134-nucleotide long non-coding RNA. The record is from Ensembl. Lineage: Eukaryota; Metazoa; Chordata; Mammalia; Artiodactyla; Bovidae.